UACGGAGGGUGCAAGCGUUAUCCGGAAUGAUUGGGCGUAAAGCGUCCGCAGGUGGCUGUGUAAGUCUGCUGUCAAAGAGCAAAGCUCAACUUUGUAAAGGCAGUGGAAACUACACGGCUAGAGUGCGUUCGGGGCAGAGGGAAUUCCUGGUGUAGCGGUGAAAUGCGUAGAGAUCAGGAAGAACACCGGUGGCGAAAGCGCUCUGCUAGGCCGCAACUGACACUGAGGGACGAAAGCUAGGGGAGCGAAUGGG
Molecule: ribosomal RNA, 253 nt
Filed under: uncultured bacterium
Lineage: Bacteria
Description: partial 16S ribosomal RNA
Rfam family: Bacterial small subunit ribosomal RNA
Source: RNAcentral